GUGCCAGCAGCCGCGGUAAUACGUAGGUGGCAAGCGUUGUCCGGAUUUAUCGGGCGUAAAGCGAGCGCAGGCGGUUUCUUAAGUCUGAUGUGAAAGCCCCCGGCUCAACCGGGGAGGGUCAUUGGAAACUGGGAGACUUGAGUGCAGAAGAGGAGAGUGGAAUUCCAUGUGUAGCGGUGAAAUGCGUAGAUAUAUGGAGGAACACCAGUGGCGAAAGCGGCUCUCUGGUCUGUAACUGACGCUGAGCUCGAAAGCGUGGGGAGCAAACAGGAUUAGAUACCCUGGUAGUCC
This 291-nucleotide ribosomal RNA is filed under the name uncultured microorganism. RNAcentral describes it as "partial 16S ribosomal RNA". It matches the Rfam family "Bacterial small subunit ribosomal RNA", at positions 505 to 796 of the family's 1533-position model. The record is from RNAcentral.